RNAcentral lists this ribosomal RNA (447 nucleotides) under uncultured bacterium. Its description in RNAcentral is "partial 16S ribosomal RNA". It matches the Rfam family "Bacterial small subunit ribosomal RNA", at positions 29 to 523 of the family's 1533-position model. The record is from RNAcentral.
AACGAACGCUGGCGGCAUGCCUAACACAUGCAAGUCGAACGAAGGCUUCGGCCUUAGUGGCGCACGGGUGAGUAACACGUGGGAACCUGCCUUCUGGUUCGGGAUAACGUUUGGAAACGAACGCUAAAACCGGAUAAGCCCUUCGGGGGAAAGUUUACGCCAGGAGAGGGGCCCGCGUCCGAUUAGGUAGUUGGGGAGGUAACGGCUCACCAAGCCGACAAUCGGUAGCUGGUCUGAGAGGAUGAUCAGCCACACUGGGACUGAGACACGGCCCAGACUCCUACGGGAGGCAGCAGUGGGGAAUAUUGGACAAUGGGCGCAAGCCUGAUCCAGCAAUGCCGCGUGAGUGAUGAAGGCCUUAGGGUUGUAAAGCCCUUUCGCACGUGACGAUGAUGACGGUAACGUGAGAAGAAGCCCCGGCUAACUUCGAGCCAGCCGCCGCCGUAA